RNAcentral lists this ribosomal RNA (1185 nucleotides) under Triticum aestivum (bread wheat). RNAcentral describes it as "partial small subunit ribosomal RNA". The record is from RNAcentral. Lineage: Eukaryota; Viridiplantae; Streptophyta; Magnoliopsida; Poales; Poaceae.
AUGUUGCCACCACCGCCGCCGCAGCCUCUGCCUGGCCGGUCGGAGGGGCAGCGGCCACCAAAAUACUUGUGUUUCUAUGUGUCCCUUGUGAGCUGCAAGAGGAAGAAGGAGCUGCUCCGAUCAGCCCCAACAAGAACUACUUAUCCGACAUGGCUGCACUAUCAAUUUAGCGAGCAGUUGAGGGUGGAGGGCGCCGUCCUGCCCUACGCCCACACCACGAUCCCAUCCCCAUCCCCAUCUCCCUCCCUCUCCAUCAACUCCUUCCUCGCCGGGGGCCGGACGGCUGGUAUUGCCGUCUUUGCCGCCAUGAAGCUUCCUCCGGCUGUUGCAUGUCUUCUCCUCCUCCUCCUCGUCUUUGCUGCUGCACGUGUGGAGGCCCGAGGCACACCUUCUUCAAAGCGGUCGAAGAACCAAUGGUCCAGCAUGUUUGUCUUCGGCGACGACUUUGUCGACAACGGCAAUGUUCCAAACAACAUUGGUGAAAAGACAUCACGUCAAUGGAGCUACCCAUACGGCUCCUAUCUCAACACUCAUUAUGCUACGUCUCCUGUUUUGGCCGGGCGCUUCUCCAACUACAGGAUGCAAUCAGAUUUUAUCGCAAGGAUGUUGGGCCUCAAUGAAGCCCCUCCAGCGUACGAGCUCACAUCAGAUCAAUCUUUUGACUCAUCUGGCAUGACCUUUGCUUUUGGGGGCGCUGGUGUCUUCAAGGUGAAGACCAAGAAGGUGCCGACCCUUGCCGCACAGCUCGACACUUACAUCGAAAACGUGGCGACUGAGAUCCUAGAUAACGUGGCACAACUGCAGAUGCUUGGUUCGAACAACUACACCACAUGCGACCUUCUUGGCAAUUAUGGCGCGUCCGUCCACAACAAGUAUCUAAAGCAAAUGCUUGACGAAAGGGAUAACGUUCACAUUCUGGACCUCUACUCAGCCUUCACUGACAUCGUCAAUCACGCCCCUGGUGGAGGAUCGGAUCAGUCCAAGGAUUUCGAUGGCAAGCUGACCCCAUGCUGCGAGAGUACCGAUGAGGGAGGGUUCUGUGGAGAGCGUAGCCAUUCAGGGAAGCGCCUGUACGACCUAUGCGAAAAUCCCGACAAGACGUUCUACUGGGACCAGACACACCCAACACAUGUGGGAGGCUGUAAUGAAGGCGCUGCAACAGCCUUUGAUGGAGUUUCUGGAUGA